This 305-nucleotide ribosomal RNA is filed under the name uncultured bacterium. RNAcentral describes it as "bacterial SSU rRNA". It matches the Rfam family "Bacterial small subunit ribosomal RNA", at positions 333 to 630 of the family's 1533-position model. The record is from RNAcentral.
UUUUUCCUACGGGGCGCAGCAGUAGGGAAUUUUCGUCAAUGGGCGCAAGCCUGAACGAGCAAUGCCGCGUGAACGAGGAAGGUCUUCGGAUCGUAAAGUUCUGUUGACGGGGAAAAAAGACCGGGAAAGGAAAUGAUCCCGGAGGAGAUAUUACCCGUCGAGGAAGUCACGGCUAACUACGUGCCAGCAGCCGCGGUAAUGCGUAGGUGGCGAGCGUUAUCCGGAAUGAUUGGGCGUAAAGGGGGCGUAGGCGGUCGAUUAAGUCUGGAGUGAAAGGUACCGGCUCAACCGGUAUAGGCACCGGG